This 254-nucleotide ribosomal RNA is filed under the name uncultured bacterium. Its description in RNAcentral is "partial 16S ribosomal RNA". It matches the Rfam family "Bacterial small subunit ribosomal RNA", at positions 524 to 776 of the family's 1533-position model. The record is from RNAcentral.
UACGUAGGGCGCAAGCGUUGUCCGGAAUUACUGGGCGUAAAGGGCGCGUAGGCGGCCACCGCAAGUCGGUUGUGAAAUCUCUGGGCUUAACCCAGAAAGGUCAACCGAUACUGCGGGGCUAGAGUGCAGAAGGGGCAACUGGAAUUCUCGGUGUAGCGGUGAAAUGCGUAGAUAUCGAGAGGAACACCUGCGGCGAAGGCGGGUUGCUGGGCUGACACUGACGCUGAAGCGCGAAAGCUAGGGGAGCGAACGGG